GCCCGCCUAGCUCAAUCGGAUAGAGCGUCAGACUCUUAUUUGUGUUCCUCCCUAAUUUGAUCUGAAGGCUGCGAGUUCGACCCUCGCGGUGGGCU
Molecule: non-coding RNA, 95 nt
Organism: Paramarasmius palmivorus
Lineage: Eukaryota; Fungi; Basidiomycota; Agaricomycetes; Agaricales; Marasmiaceae
Source: the annotation of a GenBank genome assembly